GGUGUAGCAGUGAAAUGCGUAGAUAUCUGGAGGAACAUCAGUGGCGAAGGCGGCUAACUGGUAUAACACUGACGCUGAGGUACGAAAGCGUGGGUAGCGAACGGGAUUAGAUACCCCGGUAGUCCACGCCCUAAACGAUGAGAACUAGCUGUUGGAAGCGUAAAUGCUUUCAGUAGCGAAGCUAACGCGUUAAGUUCUCCGCCUGGGGAGUACGACCGCAAGGUUGAAACUCAAAGGAAUUGACGGGGGCCCGCACAAGCGGUGGAGCAUGUGGUUUAAUUCGAUGCAACGCGAAGAACCUUACCAUCCCUUGACAUCCUCAGAAUUUGUCGUAAUGACUUAGUGCCUUCGGGAACUGAGUGACAGGUGCUGCACGGCUGUCGUCAGCUCGUGUCGUGAGAUGUUGGGUUAAGUCCCGCAACGAGCGCAACCCCUAUCUUUAGUUGCCAGCACGUAAUGGUGGGAACUCUAGAGAGACUGCCGGUGAUAAGCCGGAGGAAGGUGGGGACGACGUCAAGUCAUCAUGGCCCUUACGGGAUGGGCUACACACGUGCUACAAUGGUACAUACAGAGGGUUGCCAAGCCGCAAGGUGGAGCUAAUCCCAGAAAAUGUAUCUUAGUCCGGAUCGCAGUCUGCAACUCGACUGCGUGAAGUUGGAAUCGCUAGUAAUCGCGAAUCAGCAACGUCGCGGUGAAUACGUUCCCGGGCCUUGUACACACCGCCCGUCACACCAUGGGAGUGGGUUGCACCAGAAGUAGCUAGACUAACUGCUUGCAGAGGUCGGUUACCACGGU
Molecule: ribosomal RNA, 795 nt
Filed under: uncultured bacterium
Lineage: Bacteria
Description: bacterial SSU rRNA
Rfam family: Bacterial small subunit ribosomal RNA
Source: RNAcentral